RNAcentral lists this long non-coding RNA (643 nucleotides) under Equus caballus (horse). RNAcentral describes it as "lncRNA (ENSECAG00000041289.2)". The record is from RNAcentral. Lineage: Eukaryota; Metazoa; Chordata; Mammalia; Perissodactyla; Equidae.
UCUGAGAGCUUGACUGGGGCUAGAGGUCAACUUCCAAAAUGAUUCACCCGCCUGGCUAUUGGCAGGAGGCCCCACUUUCUUGCCUCAUGGGCCUCUCCAUAUGCUACCGGAUGGAGUGUCCUCUUGACAUGGCAACUGGAUUUCCCCGGAGCAGGUCACCAGAAAACUCCAUUUCUUCUGUGAGGGGUUUCAAAGAGAAUAACGACCUACUCAGAGAUUCAAAUGUGAUGCUUUCGGUGGAGCAUCAGCCAUCUGGAGGAUGUGAGAUACCAGCCAACAGAUUGAGGAUGAUGGAGGAAAGAGCCUGCAUGCAAGAAAGCAGUGAGGGAGGGCAAACAGAACAGUGGCAGCAACCACCUACCCCUGCACUCCUUGUUCCAGGAGAAGCAGCAGCUUCUGUGUGCAUAAGGCAGACAAGUUGGGUUUGCUGUUACCUGCAGCUGUAGGCAUUCCUGACUGAUAAAAGGGGCUCUGUGAAUGUGAAGAAUGUGUGAAGCACCAAAUAAGGGACCUCCAGAGAAAUGCUUACUUCAGUAGAAACUCUUUUCUCCUCUAGAGAAGUCCCAUGUUCUCCAAUGCAGGGCUUGGCAAGCUGGGCAAAUAGAAAUAGGUCGGCCCUCUGCCCUUUUUUGUAAAUAAAGUU